UUAAGCAUAUCAAUAAGCGGAGGAAAAGAAACUAACAAGGAUUCCCCUAGUAACUGCGAGUGAAGAGGGAAAAGCUCAAAUUUAGAAUCUGUCAGUCUUGGCUGACCGAGUUGUAAAUUAGAGAAGUGCUAUCAGCGCUGGCCUGUGCAAAAGUCUCUUGGAAAAGGGCAUCAUAGAGGGUGACAAUCCCGUCUUUGGUACAGAGCUCCAGGGCUAUAUGAUGUGCUCUCGAUGAGUCGAGUUGUUUGGGAAUGCAGCUCUAAAUGGGUGGUAAAUUCCAUCUAAAGCUAAAUAUUGGCGAGAAACCGAUAGCGCACAAGUACCGUGAGGGAAAGAUGAAAAGAACUUUGAAAAGAGAGUUAAACAGUACGUGAAAUUGUUGAAAGGGAAACGCUUGAAGUCAGUCGUGUCCUUCAGAAAUCAACCUGACCUUGGUCUGGCUUACUUUCUGGUGGAYGGGUCAGCAUCAAUUUUGACCAUUGGAUAAAGGCCUUGGGAAAGUGGCAUCUUCGGAUGUGUUAUAGCCCUUGGUUCACAUACAAUGGUUGGGAUUGAGGAACUCAGUGUGAACUUGGGGCCUUGGCYCACAACACGCACUUAGGAUGCUGGCAUAAUGGCUUUAAUCGACCCGUCUUGAAACACGGACCAAGGAGUCUAACAUACAUGCGAGUG
RNAcentral lists this ribosomal RNA (672 nucleotides) under Clavaria citrinorubra. RNAcentral's name for it is "eukaryotic LSU rRNA". It matches the Rfam family "Eukaryotic large subunit ribosomal RNA", at positions 34 to 692 of the family's 3401-position model. Lineage: Eukaryota; Fungi; Basidiomycota; Agaricomycetes; Agaricales; Clavariaceae. The record is from RNAcentral.